CACGUAGGGGGCGAGCGUUGUCCGGAGUUAUUGGGCGUAAAGAGCUCGUAGGUGGUUCGGUAAGUCGGAUGUGAAAUCUCCAGGCUCAACCUGGAGGGGUCAUUCGAUACUGCCGUGACUAGAGGUCGGUAGGGGAGUGUGGAAUUCCUGGUGGAGCGGUGAAAUGCGCAGAUAUCAGGAGGAACACCCGUAGCGAAGGCGGCACUCUGGGCCGAUACUGACACUGAGGAGCGAAAGCGUGGGGAGCGAACAGG
RNAcentral lists this ribosomal RNA (254 nucleotides) under uncultured bacterium. RNAcentral's name for it is "partial 16S ribosomal RNA". It matches the Rfam family "Bacterial small subunit ribosomal RNA", at positions 524 to 776 of the family's 1533-position model. The record is from RNAcentral.